This 215-nucleotide non-coding RNA is filed under the name Enterococcus italicus. RNAcentral describes it as "T-box sequence". It matches the Rfam family "T-box leader". From Rfam's summary of the family: Uncharged tRNA acts as the effector for transcription antitermination of genes in the T-box leader family. T-boxes are found upstream of many aminoacyl-tRNA synthetase genes and some amino acid biosynthetic genes usually in Gram-positive bacteria. The anticodon of a specific tRNA base pairs to a specifier sequence within the T-box motif, and the NCCA acceptor tail of the tRNA base pairs to a conserved bulge in the T-box antiterminator hairpin. The record is from RNAcentral. Lineage: Bacteria; Bacillati; Bacillota; Bacilli; Lactobacillales; Enterococcaceae.
AGUUACGCGAGGAAGAGAAGAGUAUAAGGCACUGUUUUUUUAGAGAGCUUGGUUAGCUGAAAACAAGUAAAGCAGCGACUUAGAAAAUGGUCUCAGAGCGUUUGUUUGCGAAUGGUUAGCGAGCAACAGAUCUGCCUGUUAUAGCAGUAGAAUUCAUUACAUGGAUUUGACCGAGUAAUCAAACGAAGGUGGUACCGCGAUAUGUCGCCCUUCCA